Molecule: non-coding RNA, 45 nt
Filed under: Schistosoma mattheei
Lineage: Eukaryota; Metazoa; Platyhelminthes; Trematoda; Strigeidida; Schistosomatidae
Source: RNAcentral
AUUAAGAUGACGAGUUCCAAAUAGGAGGAAAUCCGCUUCCUUGAU